This 380-nucleotide ribosomal RNA is filed under the name uncultured bacterium. RNAcentral describes it as "bacterial SSU rRNA". It matches the Rfam family "Bacterial small subunit ribosomal RNA", at positions 29 to 410 of the family's 1533-position model. The record is from RNAcentral.
AUUGAACGCUGGCGGCAUGCCUUACACAUGCAAGUCGAACGGUAACGCGGGGGCAACCCUGGCGACGAGUGGCGAACGGGUGAGUAAUACAUCGGAACGUACCCAGUAGUGGGGGAUAGCUCGGCGAAAGCCGGAUUAAUACCGCAUACGACCUAUGGGUGAAAGCGGGGGAUCGCAAGACCUCGCGCUAUUGGAGCGGCCGAUGUCGGAUUAGCUAGUUGGUGAGGUAAAGGCNCACCAAGGCUACGAUCCGUAGCUGGUCUGAGAGGACGACCAGCCACACUGGGACUGAGACACGGCCCAGACUCCUACGGGAGGCAGCAGUGGGGAAUUUUGGACAAUGGGCGAAAGCCUGAUCCAGCCAUGCCGCGUGUGUGAAG